Long non-coding RNA from Suricata suricatta (meerkat), 620 nucleotides. RefSeq lists it as uncharacterized. The record is from RefSeq and is a predicted model, not a curated record. The transcript is spliced from 4 exons. Lineage: Eukaryota; Metazoa; Chordata; Mammalia; Carnivora; Herpestidae.
CAGGCAGACAAGGGUUGGCAGGUGCAGGCAAAAGGUUUUGUAGUGGCUGCCCUACAUCCCACUGUAGUUACCCACAUCUGCUUCAGGCAGCUGAGAUCAUUUGUGGUGGGAGUUUUUAUAAUCUUUACAACUGCCUGAUUUUCUGUGACCGCCGGCAGUUUUCUCAACCGUUGCUCUUCCCACACUCUCAAAUAUUUUUUAAGCAUCAAGUUCUGCGGAUCAGUUCCUUCCUGCAUGUAAUACCGCCACAGAUCAAGAGGAACUCUACAGGAAGAGCUGUAUUUGAGAAAUUCGCCCAAGGAGCCUCAUCUGAACCUGAACCUGAUUAGAUGACAAGAUCCAGGACUUUGAAGUGAUGAUGCAGAGUGAUGAGACUUGGGGACCUUGAAAAGGGAGGAAUCAAAGAAUCCCAAGUGUCUCAAGCCCGGGCAGGAAACACACAUUAAGGAACAACGUGGAGAGAAAAUGCAGGCCAACUGCUCUGAUGGGGACUCUCAAUAGUCUGGAGAGGGGAUUUCCCCAGGACUACAGCUGUGAUCAAGAAUAACUACAGAGAGCCAGGCGGGAGGUCGUUUGCAAAACCCAACACAGCCUGUAAAAUAAAAUGGAAGACAUAAAAU